RNAcentral lists this unclassified non-coding RNA (340 nucleotides) under soil metagenome. RNAcentral's name for it is "partial contains 5.8S ribosomal RNA, internal transcribed spacer 2, and large subunit ribosomal RNA". The stretch from base 1 to 120 matches the Rfam family "5.8S ribosomal RNA", at positions 35 to 154 of the family's 154-position model. The record is from RNAcentral.
GAUGAAGAACGUAGUGAAAUGCGAUAAGUAGUGUGAAUUGCAGAAUUCAGUGAAUCAUCGAAUCUUUGAACGCACAUUGCGCCCCUUGGUAUUCCAUGGGGCAUGCCUGUUCGAGCGUCAUUUGUACCCUCAAGCUAUGCUUGGUGUUGGGUGUUUGUCCUCUCCUUUGCGAUUGGACUCGCCUUAAAGACAUUGGCAGCCAGUGUAUUGGUCUUGAAGCGCAGCACAUUUUGCGAUUCUUGCUGAUAAUCACUAGCGUCCAGUAAGCCUAUUUUAACACUUUUGACCUCGGAUCAGGUAGGGAUACCCGCUGAACUUAAGCAUAUCAAUAAGCGGAGGA